RNAcentral lists this long non-coding RNA (209 nucleotides) under Lathyrus oleraceus (garden pea). Its description in RNAcentral is "Pisum sativum (pea) long non-coding RNA (PSAT_LNC026673)". The record is from RNAcentral. Lineage: Eukaryota; Viridiplantae; Streptophyta; Magnoliopsida; Fabales; Fabaceae.
UAGAAUCAAUAGAAAAGUAAUUUUUCAAAUUGAAAUUGACAUUCAUAACAUAAAAUAAGCAUUACAAUGAUGAUUUCAACAUAAACUACAAUAUUACAUUUCAAUUUCCUGGUGGACGCUUGCACAUCUUCAAAAUAUCUUCGACCAAUCUUUGUAGCGUCGCCUCCAACUUGAACGAAACUUUUGUUCCGAAACGGAAAUACAAAUUG